RNAcentral lists this ribosomal RNA (420 nucleotides) under uncultured bacterium. RNAcentral's name for it is "bacterial SSU rRNA". It matches the Rfam family "Bacterial small subunit ribosomal RNA", at positions 64 to 524 of the family's 1533-position model. The record is from RNAcentral.
GAGCAGGGCGUAGCAAUACAUCAGCGGCAGACGGGUGAGUAACGCGUGGGAACGUACCUUUUGGUUCGGAACAACCCAGGGAAACUUGGGCUAAUACCGGUAUAAGCCCUGUACGGGGGAAAGAUUUAUCGCCGAAAGAUCGGCCCGCGUCUGAUUAGCUAGUUGGUGAGGUAAUGGCUCACCAAGGCGACGAUCAGUAGCUGGUCUGAGAGGAUGAUCAGCCACAUUGGGACUGAGACACGGCCCAAACUCCUACGGGAGGCAGCAGUGGGGAAUAUUGGACAAUGGGCGCAAGCCUGAUCCAGCCAUGCCGCGUGAGUGAUGAAGGCCCUAGGGUUGUAAAGCUCUUUUGUGCGGGAAGAUAAUGACGGUACCGCAAGAAUAAGCCCCGGCUAACUUCGUGCCAGCAGCCGCGGUAAU